CAGCAGCCGGUGGUUGGCUAGGCAGGACUUGGGCCGGGCCCGUGACCCAGGGCUCUGCUCUCUGAUUGGUUGGGAGCUCAUUGGACAAUGGGUUUUGUUUGGUGUUCCAUUUGAAAAGCAUUAUUGGACAUUUCAAGGUUUGGGUACUUUCAAGUGUCAAGAUUCAACUAAUAAAAUAGGAAGAAGAGAUUACAGCAAGAGAGGGGCCACUUUCCUUCCCAAGACCCUCGGGUUUGGGCUGGUGGGGUCGGGGCCGGGCGGCUCAGCUGCCGGCGCCCCACCCAGGCCUGCAGCCGCGCCUGCUGCCGUCAGUCGCGUCUGGACCACUGGGCUGCGCUCGCUCUUCUCGGAGGCACAUCGACUCACUGCGGCCCCAUCAGCGGGCUCCCCCCCCCCCGACGUGAUUCUCCCAGGGCACACCUGGGGCACACGAAGAACUGCCUGUCCUGUCCCCUUGGAGCUAGAUGUGGCUUCUUGACUGACUCAAGCCAAAGGAAUGCACGCAGAGGCGAAACCCACUCAGCUGACUCCCAUGGCUCCCGGGCCAUUCUGCCCCCUGGGUGGAAAGAGCCGAUAAAGGGAGAUGGAAACCCACUCCUCCUUAAAAUCCCUCAGCCUCUGGAAGAUUCUGGAGUGUCUGGAAGCAGCACAAGCUCCUGGGAAAAUAAUGGGCCAAGUCCCGUUACAGAGACUGUAGAUGCAUCCCAGGAUGGAAAGAGAGAAUUUGCCUCCGUGGGAGGUGGGAUCAUCUCAACCCAAGCCUGCCCUUUCUUGGUGGAACCAUGCCAAGAUCAGGGUUGCAUUUCCUGUCCAAACCCUUAGCCCAGGAGAAUGAAACACUUCCAGAAGGACAUGGAAUCAUUGCUCAAAACGGUAAGCUCUUUGCUUAAGAAAAGGGACUUACGGCUCUUCUGCGCAUGUAAUCUUUGUGAAACCCUUGGUCACUGCAGCAGUAUUUGUUGCUAACACCAGCCUUGUCCAGAAGUCCCAGCCAGAUCUGCACACACCCAGCCCCUGUGUGCCACCUUCCCAAUGCCCCAUGCCUUCUCCUGUCCUCUCCACCUGUGCACCCUUUCAGAGCUUCUCUAAGCCCACCUUCUCCUUCCAACUUCCAGCCACUUGGCUCUCGCCUGGCCAUUAAAGAUUAUUUCAAGCUGGUAACAUAAUCCCUAGCACUUAAUGGCAUAAUUAAUAGUCCCACAUGUGUCAUUUCAUUAUCCAACUUCAUAAUAAAUCACACAAGGCAGGAAUCAAGCC
Long non-coding RNA from Manis pentadactyla (Chinese pangolin), 1257 nucleotides. RefSeq lists it as uncharacterized. The transcript is spliced from 4 exons. NCBI's taxonomy places the organism in Eukaryota, Metazoa, Chordata, Mammalia, Pholidota, Manidae. The record is from RefSeq and is a predicted model, not a curated record.